Molecule: ribosomal RNA, 279 nt
Filed under: uncultured bacterium
Lineage: Bacteria
Description: partial 16S ribosomal RNA
Rfam family: Bacterial small subunit ribosomal RNA
Source: RNAcentral
UGCCAGCCGCCGCGGUAAUACGGAGGAUGCAGGCGUUAUCCGGAUUUACUGGGUUUAAAGGGUGCGCAGGCGGGACGAUAAGUCAGUGGUGAAAUCCUACAGCUUAACUGUAGAACUGCCAUUGAUACUGAUAGACUUGAAUAUAGUUGGAGUAGGCGGAAUAUGUAGUGUAGCGAUGAAAUGCUUAGAUAUUACAUAGAACACCGAUAGCGAAGGCAGCUUACUAAACUAUUAUUGACGCUCAUGAACGAAAGCGUGGGGAGCGAACAGGAUUAGAUA